CAGUCGCCGCGGUAAUACGUAGGUCCCGAGCGUUGUCCGGAUUUAUUGGGCGUAAAGCGAGCGCAGGCGGUUAGAUAAGUCUGAAGUUAAAGGCUGUGGCUUAACCAUAGUACGCUUUGGAAACUGUUUAACUUGAGUGCUAGAGGGGAGAGUGGAAUUCCAUGUGUAGCGGUGAAAUGCGUAGAUAUAUGGAGGAACACCGGUGGCGAAAGCGGCUCUCUGGCUUGUAACUGACGCUGAGGCUCGAAAGCGUGGGGAGCAAACAGGAUUAGAUACCCGGGUAGUCCCUGUCUCUUAUACA
RNAcentral lists this ribosomal RNA (301 nucleotides) under uncultured bacterium. Its description in RNAcentral is "partial 16S ribosomal RNA". It matches the Rfam family "Bacterial small subunit ribosomal RNA", at positions 509 to 808 of the family's 1533-position model. The record is from RNAcentral.